RNAcentral lists this ribosomal RNA (251 nucleotides) under uncultured prokaryote. Its description in RNAcentral is "partial 16S ribosomal RNA". It matches the Rfam family "Bacterial small subunit ribosomal RNA", at positions 525 to 775 of the family's 1533-position model. The record is from RNAcentral.
ACGUAGGGUGCGAUCGUUAAUCGGAAUUACUGGGCGUAAAGCGUGCGCAGGCGGUUCGCUAAGACAGGUGUGAAAUCCCCGGGCUUAACCUGGGAAUGGCGCUUGUGACUGGCGGACUGGAGUAUGGCAGAGGGGGGUGGAAUUUCACGUGUAGCGGUGAAAUGCGUAGAGAUGGGGAGGAACACCGAUGGCGAAGGCAGCCCCCUGGGCCGAUACUGACGCUGAGGCACGAAAGCGUGGGGAGCAAACAG